RNAcentral lists this ribosomal RNA (329 nucleotides) under uncultured Geobacter sp. RNAcentral describes it as "bacterial SSU rRNA". It matches the Rfam family "Bacterial small subunit ribosomal RNA", at positions 1052 to 1382 of the family's 1533-position model. The record is from RNAcentral. Lineage: Bacteria; Pseudomonadati; Thermodesulfobacteriota; Desulfuromonadia; Geobacterales; Geobacteraceae.
UCGUCAGCUCGUGUCGUGAGAUGUUGGUUAAGUCCCGCAACGAGCGCAACCCCUAUCCUCAGUUGCCAUCAUUAAGUUUGGGCACUCUGUGGAGACUGCCGGUGUCAAACCGGAGGAAGGUGGGGAUGACGUCAAGUCCUCAUGGCCCUUAUGACCAGGGCUACACACGUGCUACAAUGGCCGGUACAAAGAGUUGCGAUACCGCGAGGUGGAGCUAAUCUCAUAAAGCCGGUCUCAGUUCGGAUUGGAGUCUGCAACUCGACUCCAUGAAGUUGGAAUCGCUAGUAAUCGCGGAUCAGCAUGCCGCGGUGAAUACGUUCCCGGGCCUU